UUCUCUUGACAAGUUGCCCUAGUGUGAGGGUGAGAAAGGACCUAACUGUUGUUCCAUUGACUGCCUAGGAGGAGUGAUGAGAGCCUGCUGGAACAUGAGGAUUUCAAGAUCUCUAGAGGAUGAAGAAACUGAGCCCAGAGAGGUUACAGAACUUGCCAGAGGUCACCUAGCUAAUGCCGGCACUAGAUCUGGAUGCAGCUGUGAACAGUAACCCAGUUUCUCCAACAGUGUGAAGAGCCUGGCAGCUGGGAUGGUACCAUCGCCCUUCGUGCUUCUAUCCAGAAGCAUCUGAAAUGGCUAAUCAAUGGCUAUGCUCCUAUAAGGCCCAUACCUGCCUCCUCUAUGUGAAGUUUGCCAGUCAUGUGAAUUUAAAAACAAAACUCAACGAUGUUUUAAGUGCAGUCCUACAUGAGUAACUGUUUUCUAACUCUAUAUUCAGUCUAUAUCCACUGGAGAAAUGUAGCCCAGUGUUCUAGCCUGUCAAGGUCUUCUUGGAUCCUGAUUCUAUCAUGCGAAUGUU
Non-coding RNA from Phascolarctos cinereus (koala), 520 nucleotides. The record is from RefSeq and is a predicted model, not a curated record. Lineage: Eukaryota; Metazoa; Chordata; Mammalia; Diprotodontia; Phascolarctidae.